GGUGAAGGAGGCAGCUGGGGCUUCUAAGUUUCUGAAUCGCUCCAUCGAAUCUCAUAUCCUUUGUCGGACGAAGACGAAGGAACAGCGAUUGAAUUGAAUAUGCAUCCCAUGGUGUUGAAUUCCUCCCCUUACCACAGAGCCCCGCAAACCCUUCAAUCUCCUUCUUCCUCUUCUUCUUCUUUUUCUUCUCGCGCCUUCAAGAUCUCCUCCUUCUUCGUCCGCCAUGUUUCGCCUUCAAGACAGCGCAGUCUUCUUUGCCGGAGAUCAUGUCGUUCCCUUCGAAUUAACUCACGCACGCCAGUUAUUAGAGCCGUCGCAACUUCCAAUUCGGCACUGGAAUUGCCGCUGACUGCAGAAAAUGUUGAAAGUGUUCUGGACGAGGUUCGACCAUAUCUUAUUGCGGAUGGUGGUAAUGUAGCAUUACAUGAAAUAGACGGAAAUGUUGUACGGUUGAAGCUACAAGGAGCAUGCGGCUCAUGUCCGAGUUCUGUUACGACUAUGAAGAUGGGAAUUGAACGGCGUUUGAUGGAGAAGAUCCCUGAAAUAGUUGCUGUGGAACCAAUAGCAGAUGAGGAAACUGGAUUGGAGCUCAACGAGGACAAUAUAGAGAAGACGACUUAUAAUGGACCUUUCAAGGUAUUUGAACAUUUUUUGGGAGGAAGAAGCACAAUGGUAUGUAUAGCUCACACAGGUUCUUUGAUAUAUUUGAUUAUUGAGAAAUUAAGGGUAGGAUUAAGCUAGCAUUCUUUGAUGUAUGUGAUUAUUGAGAAAUUAUGGGUAGGAUUAAGCUAGCAUUCUUUGAUAUAUGUGAUUAUUUUGAAAUUAAGGGUAGGAUUAAGCUAGCAUUCUUUUUAUUCAACUUCAACAAUUCUUCAGAUUGGCUUCGUUUUUUGAUAAGAUAUUACCCAUUUAGUAGGUCAAGCCUCUGUCUCCGUAGUUUUUUUGGUACUUCAGCCUUCCAUUUCUCAUUUCUCUGUGACCGAAGGAACGAAUGGGUUUCUGAAAUCAUCCUUAUUCGGAUAAGGACUGCCAAGAAAGCAUAUGGCAUGAUUACAUCUUCAUUUCGUUCUUCAUAGAAAUAUCAAUUAAGUGCAUCCAAGGCCCGUGUGUCCGAUUUUUUAAUCCGGGUGCUACUCUACUUGGUAUUGGUCCAAAACUGCGACCAGCUUGAUUAAGCUUGCAGCAUUUGUAGACAAUGAACCUGAUAGUAAUGCAACACAACGCUUGAAUUUGCCUGUCAUCAUAUGAAACCCAAGGGGCUGUAUAUCGAAUCGUACUGGUACUCGAAGAGAUAAGACCUUAUCUUAUCGGGGCAGCGGGAGGAUCUCUCGAACUCGUGGGUAUCGAGGAGCCAAUAGUUAAAGUUCGGA
Molecule: RNA transcript, 1370 nt
Organism: Cucurbita maxima (winter squash)
Lineage: Eukaryota; Viridiplantae; Streptophyta; Magnoliopsida; Cucurbitales; Cucurbitaceae
Gene name: nifU-like protein 2, chloroplastic
Exons: 5
Source: RefSeq, a predicted model, not a curated record